RNAcentral lists this ribosomal RNA (253 nucleotides) under uncultured bacterium. Its description in RNAcentral is "partial 16S ribosomal RNA". It matches the Rfam family "Bacterial small subunit ribosomal RNA", at positions 524 to 776 of the family's 1533-position model. The record is from RNAcentral.
UACGGAGUGUGCAAGCGUUGUUCGGAUUUACUGGGCGUAAAGCGCGCGUAGGCGGCAAGGUAAGCCAGAUGUGAAAUCCCUCGGCUCAACCGAGGAACUGCAUUUGGAACUGCCUAGCUCGAGUACAGGAGGGGGAAGCGGAAUUCCCAGUGUAGAGGUGAAAUUCGUAGAUAUUGGGAGGAACACCAGCGGCGAAGGCGGCUUCCUGGACUGAUACUGACGCUGAGGCGCGAAAGCGUGGGGAGCAAACAGG